Molecule: ribosomal RNA, 496 nt
Filed under: uncultured bacterium
Lineage: Bacteria
Description: partial 16S ribosomal RNA
Rfam family: Bacterial small subunit ribosomal RNA
Source: RNAcentral
AUGAACGCUGGCGGCGUGCCUAAUACAUGCAAGUCGAGCGAACGGACGAGAAGCUUGCUUUUCUGAUGUUAGCGGCGGACGGGUGAGUAACACGUGGAUAACCUACCUAUAAGACUGGGAUAACUUCGGGAAACCGGAGCUAAUACCGGAUAAUAUUUUGACCCGCAUGGUUCAAAAGUGAAAGACGGUCUUGCUGUCACUUAUAGAUGGAUCCGCGCUGCAUUAGCUAGUUGGUAAGGUAACGGCUUACCAAGGCAACGAUGCAUAGCCGACCUGAGAGGGUGAUCGGCCACACUGGAACUGAGACACGGUCCAGACUCCUACGGGAGGCAGCAGUAGGGAAUCUUCCGCAAAGGGCGAAAGCCUGACGGAGCAACGCCGCGUGAGUGAUGAAGGUCUUCGGAUCGUAAAACUCUGUUAUUAGGGAAGAACAUAUGUGUAAGUAACUGUGCACAUCUUGACGGUACCUAAUCAGAAAGCCACGGCUAACUACGUG